AUUGGCCUCCGAAGCCAAGGGUCGCUGGUCCGAUUCCAGCCAGCCGCA
RNAcentral lists this transfer RNA (48 nucleotides) under Oxalobacteraceae bacterium IMCC9480. It matches the Rfam family "tRNA", at positions 25 to 71 of the family's 71-position model. Rfam says of the family: Transfer RNA (tRNA) molecules are approximately 80 nucleotides in length. Their secondary structure includes four short double-helical elements and three loops (D, anti-codon, and T loops). Further hydrogen bonds mediate the characteristic L-shaped molecular structure. tRNAs have two regions of fundamental functional importance: the anti-codon, which is responsible for specific mRNA codon recognition, and the 3' end, to which the tRNAs corresponding amino acid is attached (by aminoacyl-tRNA synthetases). tRNAs cope with the degeneracy of the genetic code in two manners: having more than one tRNA (with a specific anti-codon) for a particular amino acid; and 'wobble' base-pairing, i.e. permitting non-standard base-pairing at the 3rd anti-codon position. Lineage: Bacteria; Pseudomonadati; Pseudomonadota; Betaproteobacteria; Burkholderiales; Oxalobacteraceae. The record is from Rfam by way of RNAcentral.